GAUUGGAUACGCUAAAUUAAGCCAUUGGGUUCAUGCCCCAAAAAUGAGUACUCCUCUCCAAUUA
Molecule: transfer RNA, 64 nt
Filed under: Glycera unicornis
Lineage: Eukaryota; Metazoa; Annelida; Polychaeta; Phyllodocida; Glyceridae
Description: tRNA-Met
Source: RNAcentral